CCUACGGGCGGCAGCAGUGGGGGAUAUUGCACAAUGGGGGGAACCCUGAUGCAGCGACGCCGCGUGGGUGAAGGAGUGCUUCGGCAUGUAAAGCUCUAUCGGCAGGGAAGAAGCAAGACGGUACCUGACUAAGAAGCCCCGCCUAACUACGUGCCAGCAGCCGCGGUAAUACGUAGGGGGCGAGCGUUAUCCGGAUUCACUGGGUGUAAAGGGAGCGUAGACGGUCAUGCAAGCCAGGGGUGAAAGCCCGGGGCCCAACCCCGGGACUGCCCUGGGAACUGUGCGGCUAGAGUGCGGGAGAGGCAGGCGGAAUGCCUGGUGUAGCGGUGAAAUGCGUAGAUAUCAGGAGGAACACCGGCGGCGAAGGCGGCCUGCUGGACCGCGACUGACGUUGAGGCUCGAAAGCGUGGGGAGCGAACAGGAUUAGAUACCCCAGUAGUC
RNAcentral lists this ribosomal RNA (441 nucleotides) under uncultured bacterium. RNAcentral's name for it is "partial 16S ribosomal RNA". It matches the Rfam family "Bacterial small subunit ribosomal RNA", at positions 338 to 795 of the family's 1533-position model. The record is from RNAcentral.